This is a non-coding RNA of Osmia lignaria (orchard mason bee), 1062 nucleotides long. The record is from RefSeq and is a predicted model, not a curated record. NCBI's taxonomy places the organism in Eukaryota, Metazoa, Arthropoda, Insecta, Hymenoptera, Megachilidae.
CUGAAUCGAACCGACGACCAGCAAAACAAAUCGUUUUUCGUCUGAAAAUCAAUUUUACACAGAACGACCGAGCACAGAGAGAAGGGAAAGUUUUUCAAACAAUGAAGUCGUUAAUCAUUUGUGUAGUUGGAUUCGGGUGAAGUUAGCUACUCAUAUGAAUUAGUAGCCUGAGAAAAUGAUUUAAGUUGAGGAUUGUUGGAAGAGUUCAUGAAAUAUUUUAAUGUGUUUCCCUGUCUGAAGCUAAGGAGAGACACAGGAAUUCAUCGACCAAGUGGCACAGUAGAAGUGUGCGCUAAAAAGAGUGCAACAAAUCAGAUUCUGCGAAUUUCUACAAGAAAUCCGUAGGAGGAAAUUCCGUUAGAAAGGCAAACACAUCAAACUCUUCUAAGCACGUGCAAACAAAUGACGAAGAAAAAGAAAAGGAUCCUUCGUUCGCGACAACUUUCGCUUUCUCAGCUGGCGAUUAAGCUAAUCGGUGAUCGAGGGAACAAGGAAGAGUACGAGCGAGGGCGUAGCAGGCAAAGCGUAUCAAGGAGUUUGAGGCUAAGUGACAGCGAUGACCAUUAAUCUCAGCUCGAUCGCCAGAAUCGCGACACCGAUCUCGCCGCUUUAACGAGCAGACGUAACCCGCCAACCCUUUCUACUUCUCUUUCCUUCGUUUUUCGUCGCGCGGAUUUCUCUCGGCUCGAGCCAAGAAAAGAAGAAACUUUCGGCUUGCAUCGUCUUUACGAAUCUGUUACAGACGUUCGCUGAUAAUCAAUGGUCAACGUGAGGCUAUCAGUGACACUGUUACGCCGUGAAAGAGAGAGAGAAAGUACAUAGGGGAUGUAGAGUCAGUUGGAAGAGGAAGAGAGAAGAGACUGGUCUGGAGGGUGGUCGGUAUCUGUUGGAGGACCGGUGACCAACCACCCCGUAGCCCGUAUAACUCCGAUAACGGCCGACCGACCACCAUAAACCCUCGGUCUUUCACUCCUGAAACUACCACCCUCGCCUCGUCUUUGAAUUCCUCGCGGAAAUGGUAUUCUUACCGUCCGAAUCGCUACUUUGCUUGCGAUUCCUAUA